RNAcentral lists this ribosomal RNA (597 nucleotides) under Triatoma dimidiata (kissing bug). RNAcentral describes it as "eukaryotic LSU rRNA". It matches the Rfam family "Eukaryotic large subunit ribosomal RNA", at positions 386 to 730 of the family's 3401-position model. The record is from RNAcentral. Lineage: Eukaryota; Metazoa; Arthropoda; Insecta; Hemiptera; Reduviidae.
CUCAGGGGUAAACGGAAAAGACCUGAAUAUCCGAAAGGGGAGAUUCACGUCUUACCAGUUGCUCAACUUUUAAAUGAUUUGAGAUGGCCUCUCGCCCUAUCCAGUGUAACUGCUGUGGUAGUGGGUUUGGUCGCUCGCAUUUAAAUUGGAAGGGUAAUGGUGGACCGCACUUCUCCCUUAGUAGGACGUUGCGACCUGUCAAAUAAUAUCCUAAGUAUAUGGCUAAUUUGUCUGUUUUAGGCAAUACCGCGAGGUAUUUCCUUUAACAGUUUUAGCCGUUUAUAUAUACUGGAUAUAAUUGACAGUAACGAAUCAUGGUGUUGAGCCACUUUGAAAUUGUAUAUUUAUAUGUAUAAUGGAAAGUGUCCUUGUGGCUGUUUGCAAGUGGGUUGGUUAAUUAGUUUUAGUCGGAUUUUGGUCCGUCUAGCUAUUCCGCCUACUGUUGGUAAACUGUUCCUUGGACAGUGCUUAUAACACCGGUCGGCAGCGAUUCAGGUUCAGGCUCUUAUCCGACCCGUCUUGAAACACGGACCAAGGAGUUUAGCGUGUACGCAAGUCAUUGGGUGUAUAAAACUCAAAGGCGCAAUGAAAUUGAAA